This 779-nucleotide ribosomal RNA is filed under the name Staphylococcus epidermidis. RNAcentral's name for it is "bacterial SSU rRNA". It matches the Rfam family "Bacterial small subunit ribosomal RNA", at positions 28 to 793 of the family's 1533-position model. The record is from RNAcentral. Lineage: Bacteria; Bacillati; Bacillota; Bacilli; Caryophanales; Staphylococcaceae.
GAUGAACGCUGGCGGCGUGCCUAAUACAUGCAAGUCGAGCGAACAGAUAAGGAGCUUGCUCCUUUGACGUUAGCGGCGGACGGGUGAGUAACACGUGGAUAACCUACCUAUAAGACUGGGAUAACUUCGGGAAACCGGAGCUAAUACCGGAUAACAUAUUGAACCGCAUGGUUCAAUAGUGAAAGGCGGCUUUGCUGUCACUUAUAGAUGGAUCCGCGCCGUAUUAGCUAGUUGGUAAGGUAACGGCUUACCAAGGCAACGAUACGUAGCCGACCUGAGAGGGUGAUCGGCCACACUGGAACUGAGACACGGUCCAGACUCCUACGGGAGGCAGCAGUAGGGAAUCUUCCGCAAUGGGCGAAAGCCUGACGGAGCAACGCCGCGUGAGUGAUGAAGGUCUUCGGAUCGUAAAACUCUGUUAUCAGGGAAGAACAAAUGUGUAAGUAACUGUGCACAUCUUGACGGUACCUGAUCAGAAAGCCACGGCUAACUACGUGCCAGCAGCCGCGGUAAUACGUAGGCGGCAAGCGUUAUCCGGAAUUAUUGGGCGUAAAGCGCGCGUAGGCGGUUUUUUAAGUCUGAUGUGAAAGCCCACGGCUCAACCGUGGAGGGUCAUUGGAAACUGGAAAACUUGAGUGCAGAAGAGGAAAGUGGAAUUCCAUGUGUAGCGGUGAAAUGCGAGAGAUAUGGAGGAACACCCAGUGGCGAAGGCACUUUCUGUCUGUAACUGACGCUGAUGUGCGAAAGCGUGGGGAUCUACAUGUAUUUGAUUUCCCUAG